RNAcentral lists this ribosomal RNA (497 nucleotides) under uncultured bacterium. Its description in RNAcentral is "partial 16S ribosomal RNA". It matches the Rfam family "Bacterial small subunit ribosomal RNA", at positions 28 to 507 of the family's 1533-position model. The record is from RNAcentral.
GAUGAACGCUGGCGGCGUGCCUAAUACAUGCAAGUCGAGCGAACAGACGAGGAGCUUGCUCCUCUGACGUUAGCGGCGGACGGGUGAGUAACACGUGGAUAACCUACCUAUAAGACUGGGAUAACUUCGGGAAACCGGAGCUAAUACCGGAUAAUAUAUUGAACCGCAUGGUUCAAUAGUGAAAGACGGUUUUGCUGUCACUUAUAGAUGGAUCCGCGCCGCAUUAGCUAGUUGGUAAGGUAACGGCUUACCAAGGCAACGAUGCGUAGCCGACCUGAGAGAGUGAUCGGCCACACGGGAACUGAGACACGGUCCAGACUCCUACGGGAGGCAGCAGUAGGGAAUCUGCCGCAAUGGGCGAAAGCCUGACGGAGCAACGCCGCGUGAGUGAUGAAGGUCUUCGGAUCGUAAAACUCUGUUAUUAGGGAAGAACAAAUGUGUAAGUAACUAUGCACGUCUUGACGGUACCUAAUCAGAAAGCCACGGCUAACUACGUG